AAUGAAAUGCCUGAUUAAAGGGCUACUUUGAUAGAGUAGAUCAAGUAGGCUAUCUACUUUCAUUA
RNAcentral lists this transfer RNA (65 nucleotides) under Epeorus alexandri. Its description in RNAcentral is "tRNA-Ile". The record is from RNAcentral. Lineage: Eukaryota; Metazoa; Arthropoda; Insecta; Ephemeroptera; Heptageniidae.